UACAGAGGCCUCGAGCGUUGUUCGGAAUUACUGGGCGUAAAGCGCAUGUAGGUGGUGACGUAAGUCCGAUGUGAAACCCCCGGGCUUAACCCGGGAACUGCAUUUGAUACUGUGUCGCUGGAGUAUGAGAGAGGAAAGGGGAAUUCCCAGUGUAGGAGUGAAAUCCGUAGAUAUUGGGAGGAAUACCGAUGGCGAAGGCACCUUUCUGGCUCAUUACUGACACUGAGAUUCGAAAGCGUGGGGAGCAAACAGG
This 253-nucleotide ribosomal RNA is filed under the name uncultured bacterium. RNAcentral's name for it is "partial 16S ribosomal RNA". It matches the Rfam family "Bacterial small subunit ribosomal RNA", at positions 524 to 776 of the family's 1533-position model. The record is from RNAcentral.